Coregonus clupeaformis (lake whitefish) is the source of this 1817-nucleotide long non-coding RNA. RefSeq lists it as uncharacterized. Lineage: Eukaryota; Metazoa; Chordata; Actinopteri; Salmoniformes; Salmonidae. The transcript is spliced from 2 exons. The record is from RefSeq and is a predicted model, not a curated record.
CGCCACCACCUGUCAGAGGGACUAGUGUUCCGUAGGAGUGACGCCACCACCUGUCAGAGGGACUAGUGUUCCGUAGGAGUGACGCCACCACCUGUCAGAGGGACUAGUGUUCCGUAGGAGUGACGCCACCGCCUGUCAGAGGGACUAGUGUUCCGUAGGAGUGACGCCACCACCUGUCAGAGGGACUAGUGUUCCGUAGGAGUGACGCCACCGCCUGUCAGAGGGACUAGUGUUCCCGUAGGAGUGACGCCACCACCUGUCAGAGGGACUAGUGUUCCGUAGGAGUGACGCCACCGCCUGUCAGAGGGACUAGUGUUCCGUAGGAGUGACGCCACCGCCUGUCAGAGGGACUAGUGUUCCGUAGGAGUGACGCCACCUGUCCAGAACACAAUGCACGUAGGAUGGAUGGAGCACGUCACCAGAGCCAGCAGCAGGGCUAUAAACAGACAGACAGGCUUACCCAGGCAGUACUAUCAUGAUUAAAGAAGAUUAAUGGCACGCUUGCCUUUUUUCUGUUCAUCACAACAACUGAUAUCUGUUAUGUUAUGUGUUCUGCUGCUCCCCUGUUGAUGUGACUAUCUGGGGCGUUGCUUUGUUUUGGAGGCUACAGUAUCUUCUAGCCACCCGGCUGUGUGUGUAUUUGGCCGUGGAACUGAACAACACAUCGUGACUGUUUCAUGAAUGAAGAGGGCUGCACUAUGUCAAAUUAACUAAGGCCUUGUUCUGUCGUUUUGUUCAAAGCGGGGGAGUUAAAACAUGUUGAUUUGGUGUUUGGUGACUGGGUAAUAUAUGUUUGUUUUUCCAGUCUAUUUAUUGUGUGUGGUGUGUGUGUGUGUGUGUGUGUGUGUGUGUGUGGCGAGGUUGGGUUCACAAGGACUAGAAUAUCGUCCAUAUUCUGCGGAGUUGCUUCAAAACUGUUAGGAACCUUCUGGAUCUGCGUCUUUAAAAAGAUUCAACUGAAAAUCCUUGCUCAAAACAGGCGCAUUGUAAACCACCGUUUUCUUUUGUUUUAAAUGUUUGUUUUAAAUGUUUCCGUUCAAAUUUGAGUGAGCACAGCUUUAAUUUACCUCCGGUAUGUGAUGAAACCACUUCAUAUGCAUUUUGGGAGUUGAGGUCAUCACCCUAACCCAUUAGGUUGAGGAGACAGGGUCUGAGUUGAGUGGCUGUUUGAACCACUUUUUUCACAUUCAAUUUCAUUUUAUUUGUGUCUCUGUCCAUCUGUCAUUGUCAAUUAUUUCAUAAACGCAAGCAGAGAAUGUUGCCUUUCAUUACUUAGAUUUUGUUUGUAAUUGCAUUGCAAGCUUCCUCCAUUUUCACCUGCUUUACGGUGUUGAAACAUCUUCAGUGUUUUCCAGUGGCCUUACUUUUGUCUUUUCUAGUCAUACAACUGUCUUGUGUAUUUUACAAUGUGUUUUAUUUUUGUUUAUGGAUGCGACUAAAGAAAGUCCAUCCUCCUCUUCUCUCUGUCCUCCCCAAGGCUUCUUCAGCAACUGAUAUUCAAAAGCCUAAGCAACUAAAACAAAUCACUUUUCUUUUCUAUUUCUGUCUGUAAGAAAUUGUAAAUGUUGCAUUUAAGUGUAAAAAAAAUAAAAAAAUAAAUUUCAUUUUUCUGCCGUCCAGACCGCUGUUCUACGGUGUUGUUUCCUUGAAAAUAACAACAAAGUCGAUCUCUUGAUUCUGCAUUUCAAUGCUUUCAUGUUUUGGUUUUCCUCUGUACAUUGCAAUGGGUGUGAAGAUAGUAUUUUAAUAUUUGUAUAAAGUUUAAUUUAAUUCUACCAUGUGUAUAUAACUAUUUCUAAUUAAAGCUUUCUUUUGAA